This 256-nucleotide ribosomal RNA is filed under the name uncultured bacterium. Its description in RNAcentral is "partial 16S ribosomal RNA". It matches the Rfam family "Bacterial small subunit ribosomal RNA", at positions 524 to 776 of the family's 1533-position model. The record is from RNAcentral.
UACGUAGGGGGCAAGCGUUGUCCGGAAUCAUUGGGCGUAAAGCGCGUGUAGGCGGCCCGGUAAGUCCGCUGUGAAAGUCGGGGGCUCAACCCUCGAAUGCCGGUGGAUACUGUCGGGCUAGAGUGCGGGAGAGGCGAGUGGAAGUUCCUGGGUGAUAGCGGUGAAAUGCGCAGAUAUCAGGAGGAACACCAAUUGCGAAGGCAGCUCGCUGGAACGUAACUGACGCUGAGACGCGAAAGCGUGGGGAGCGAACAGG